Molecule: ribosomal RNA, 253 nt
Filed under: uncultured bacterium
Lineage: Bacteria
Description: partial 16S ribosomal RNA
Rfam family: Bacterial small subunit ribosomal RNA
Source: RNAcentral
UACAGAGGGGGCAAGCGUUGUUCGGAAUUACUGGGCGUAAAGGGCGCGUAGGCGGCCUUCUAAGUCGAACGUGAAAUCCCCGGGCUCAACCCGGGAACUGCGUCCGAUACUGGGAGGCUUGAGGACUGGAGAGGAGACUGGAAUUCAUGGUGUAGCAGUGAAAUGCGUAGAGAUCAUGAGGAAGACCAGUGGCGAAGGCGGGUCUCUGGACAGUUCCUGACACUGAGGCACGAAGGCCAGGGGAGCAAACGGG